Molecule: ribosomal RNA, 460 nt
Filed under: uncultured bacterium
Lineage: Bacteria
Description: partial 16S ribosomal RNA
Rfam family: Bacterial small subunit ribosomal RNA
Source: RNAcentral
CCUACGGGUGACAGCAGUGAGGAAUAUUGGUCAAUGGGCUUACGCCUGAACCAGCCAAGUCGCGUGAGGGAAGACUGCCCUAUGGGUUGUAAACCUCUUUUGUCAGGGAGCAACGCCGGCUACGUGUAGCCGCCCUGAGAGUACCUGAAGAAAAAGCAUCGGCUAACUCCGUGCCAGCAGCCGCGGUAAUACGGAGGAUGCGAGCGUUAUCCGGAUUUAUUGGGUUUAAAGGGUGCGUAGGCGGAAUGCCAAGUCAGCGGUAAAAUCGCGGGGCUCAACCUCGCUCCGCCGUUGAAACUGGCGUUCUUGAGUGGGCGAGAAGUAGGCGGAAUGCGUGGUGUAGCGGUGAAAUGCAUAGAUAUCACGCAGAACUCCGAUUGCGAAGGCAGCAUACCGGCGCCCGACUGACGCUGAGGCACGAAAGCGCGGGGAUCGAACAGGAUUAGAUACCCUGGUAGUC